This 427-nucleotide ribosomal RNA is filed under the name uncultured bacterium. Its description in RNAcentral is "bacterial SSU rRNA". It matches the Rfam family "Bacterial small subunit ribosomal RNA", at positions 355 to 775 of the family's 1533-position model. The record is from RNAcentral.
UCGAGGAUUUUUCUCAAUGGGCGAAAGCCUGAAGGAGCGACGCCGCGUGGGGGAUGAAGGUCUUCGGAUUGUAAACCCCUGUCACUUGGGAACAAAUUGGAUGGUUUAAUACAUCAUCCAUUGAUUGUACCAGGAGAGGAAGACGUGGCUAACUCUGUGCCAGCAGCCGCGGUAAUACAGAGACGUCGAGCGUUGUUCGGAUUCAUUGGGCGUAAAGGGUGCGUAGGCGGUGAGGUAAGUCGGAUGUGAAAUCCCAGAGCUUAACUCUGGAAGGGCAUCCGAAACUCCCUCGCUCGAGGACUGGAGGGGAGACUGGAAUUCUCGGUGUAGCGGUGAAAUGCGUAGAUAUCGAGAGGAACACCUGUGGCGAAGGCGGGUCUCUAGACAGUUCCUGACGCUGAGGCACGAAAGCCAGGGGAGCAAACGG